UCUCCGUUGGUGAACCAGCGGAGGGAUCAUUACUGGAAUCGCAAGAUCCCACAACCCCUGUGAACCUACCGAAACGUUGCCUCGGCGGGCGCCCGGCCCUGCGCCGGCCGCUUAGCCCCCCGGCGGUCCCCUAUCUUUGUCUCUGCAGCGUUGCCUCUCCGCGUCCCAAAAAACAAGUAAAAACUUUCAACAACGGAUCUCUUGGCUCUA
RNAcentral lists this unclassified non-coding RNA (210 nucleotides) under plant metagenome. RNAcentral describes it as "partial contains small subunit ribosomal RNA, internal transcribed spacer 1, and 5.8S ribosomal RNA". The record is from RNAcentral.